GCAGAAGCCCAUGGUGAACUUUGAUCUAGAGUUCAUGUAAAUUCUUGAACUGAGCCAGUUGCAUAUCUGCAGAUGAAGAGGCAAAUGAACAUCAUCACCAGCUAGGAGACGGUGGGCGCCACAGGGCACGUAUUUCAUUUCCUUUGAUGAGGAGAGCACCCUCGCUGUCAUCCAUCCACGGCUCGCCGAUCAAAAAGGCUGACAUGGAAGAGCUAUGAAAUUUACCUUCUCGAGGUGUUUUUUUCCAGCAUUCUUGUGACACGAUUUAAAGAAUAGGAUAUGCUGAUAUUUCCAAUGUGAGAGGGACUGCCCUAUUGAUCUUAUGCGGUAGAUGUUGUAUAUCAACAUAAGGAGGAGCUCCUCUUAAAUGCUCAACGGGAGAAGCGGGUGGUUUUCUUGCUGUAGAACUGAGGCCGCUUUUGUUACUAUGCUAGAUUCCAAUGAAUAUCAUCGAAAAUUCAGAUAAUUAUGCGAUGGCAAGCCUUCAAGUAAUAUAUACAGUACACUUAGUAUCAUUAUAAAUUAAGACCAUGAUGUUGUUCAUGUCACUCAGCACCUAGAUCUUCAUGAUAUUAUUGAACUUCAGGUUGAUGCCCUUGAUAAAAAAUACAUCAGUAAAAAACUAGGCCUAUUUAUUAUGUUUUAGGUGUGUAAAUGUUCCCUCUGUUCUUCUUUGUCCUAGCUACAUUUGUCUUGAUAUUGGCAAAUUAAAACUAUUUAGGUGAUGUCAGUCUGUAGAGGUGUGGAUCUGUGUGAGCAGUUAGAUCAGGUAACUAUACUUAUAAAAUUAGUCCAACUCAUUGCCUUUGAAAAGAUUAGCUGGGCCAAGUCCAGACCAUUGCUUUUAAAAAAUUAACGGUUCCCGUUCCACUUUCCAUAAUAUAUGUUUCUUUAUUUAUGGUUGGACAGUUAUUUGAACAAUUAGGCGUUCUUGAUUCUGUCCUGUAUUUUUUUUGUUAUACUGUGUUCAGUUACUUCUGCUAUGUAAGGAGUGGAUAUUGGUGCUAACAAAUAUUCUAAAUGAAUUUGGAUGGAUCUUUUUCCUUGAUUGCUGAGUUAGAUUUGUGCAAUCCUUAUAUUUUUUACAUCAUUUUUCCAGUGUAUUUUUCUUUCUCCAUUAUACAUUUCUUAUAGUGAUUCUUUAUUGACAACAGGAAACGAGAUAGGAUAUGCAAUAAAACUUGAUUAAAAUAUUAAACAUUGUUGAGCAUGAUGAUUAUGGUUGUCUGACUAUUUAGAUACGGUGUAUUCUACAAUGAUGAUUUUGUCUGUCAUCAAGGAUCCGAAGUGGAGGUUUUUGCACUGCAGUUCAGAUCUCUACACUGUCUUCGAGCCCUGUUACAUUUUAAGUAUCAGUUUGUGAUUUCAUUUUGUUUGUACUGCUGGAGAUUUUCUUUAAUGUUCCGGUCUAUUAUCUUCUUUCUAUUACUACAUAAUUUUUGCCUUAAAUACUUUGCCACUUUUUUAGUUAUAUAUAUGGCCAACUGAUACUCUCUCUGUUCAAACAAGCCAACAUAAAAACCAUUCAGGUUAACAAAUUUAUAUUCAUAAGUUCCCUUUUGAUAAUUGCAACUCUGUUAUCUAUGCCAAUUCAUAGCUUAUCGUAUCCUAAAAAAGGUGAGUCGGGUAGUUCCCUUUUUAACAUGGCCAUUGUUUCUAGGUUUUGUUCAGUGAUAUGUAUCUAAGUAGCUGCCAGGAUGUAUUAGUUUGACCCAUGCACGACAUGCCAAUAUUAUCACCAUGCCUGCCAUUUCCUAGCUUGGUCUGUUUAAAUCGCCUUAUUCAUGUACUAUAGUAACAUUUAAAUAGUUGACAUCCAAUAAUUUGCAUACCUACAAUUCUGUUCUAAAGAUGACCAGUCUAUGUUGUUCUUUGUAACAAGAACAGAGUAGCACGUAUAGAAUGGAUAGAUGCUACGGGUAUAGCCAACCACUUCCAUUACACGCUGACGUAUUGCUGUGGUUGUGAUCUUUUAGGUUUUAGCUAUGGUCAGCUUCAACUUAUGCUUCAGAGUGAACCGUUGACCAUGACUGGUCAUGAUAAAUGGAUUAGCACUAUUGGCAAGGGUGAUUUCAGACCUAGCUCGGUUUAUAAGCAGCAUUUUCCUAAUAUUGAUAACCAUCCUCCCUCUUGCCUGAUUUGGAAAAGUAAAUGCAUGCCGAAGCAUAAAUUUUUUCUCUGCCUUAUUCCUCGUGAUAGAAUUAACACAAA
Long non-coding RNA from Lolium rigidum, 2211 nucleotides. RefSeq lists it as uncharacterized. The transcript is spliced from 4 exons. The record is from RefSeq and is a predicted model, not a curated record. Lineage: Eukaryota; Viridiplantae; Streptophyta; Magnoliopsida; Poales; Poaceae.